UCCUACGGGAGGCAGCAGUGAGGAAUAUUGGUCAAUGGCCGAGAGGCUGAACCAGCCAAGUCGCGUGAGGGAUGACGGCCCUACGGGUUGUAAACCUCUUUUGUCGGAGAACAAAACCCGGGACGAGUCCCGGACUGCGUGUAUCCGAAGAAAAAGCAUCGGCUAACUCCGUGCCAGCAGCCGCGGUAAUAUGGAGGAUGCGAGCGUUAUCCGGAUUUAUUGGGUUUAAAGGGUGCGUAGGCGGUCCGUUAAGUCAGCGGUAAAAUUGCGGGGCUCAACCCCGUCGAGCCGUUGAAACUGGCAGG
This 305-nucleotide ribosomal RNA is filed under the name uncultured bacterium. RNAcentral's name for it is "bacterial SSU rRNA". It matches the Rfam family "Bacterial small subunit ribosomal RNA", at positions 337 to 640 of the family's 1533-position model. The record is from RNAcentral.